This 253-nucleotide ribosomal RNA is filed under the name uncultured bacterium. RNAcentral describes it as "partial 16S ribosomal RNA". It matches the Rfam family "Bacterial small subunit ribosomal RNA", at positions 524 to 776 of the family's 1533-position model. The record is from RNAcentral.
UACGUAGGGGGCUAGCAUUGUCCGGAAUCAUUGGGCGUAAAGAGCGUGUAGGCGGCCCGGUAAGUCCGCUGUGAAAGUCGGGGGCUCAACCCUCGAAUGCCGGUGGAUACUGUCGGGCUAGAGUGCGGAAGAGGCGAGUGGAAUUCCUGGUGUAGCGGUGAAAUGCGCAGAUAUCAGGAGGAACACCGAUUGCGAAGGCAGCUCGCUGGGACGUAACUGACGCUGAGACGCGAAAGCGUGGGGAGCAAACAGG